UACGGAGGGGGCAAGCGUUGUUCGGAAUUACUGGGCGUAAAGGGCUUGUAGGUGGCCAACUAAGUCAGCCGUGAAAUCCCUCGGCUUAACCGGGGAACUGCGUCUGAUACUGGAUGGCUUGAGUGUGGGAGAGGGAUGCGGAAUUCCAGGUGUAGCGGUGAAAUGCGUAGAUAUCUGGAGGAACACCGGUGGCGAAGGCGGCAUCCUGGAGCAUUACUGACACUGAAAAGAGAAAGACAGGGGAGAAAACGAG
This 253-nucleotide ribosomal RNA is filed under the name uncultured bacterium. RNAcentral's name for it is "partial 16S ribosomal RNA". It matches the Rfam family "Bacterial small subunit ribosomal RNA", at positions 524 to 776 of the family's 1533-position model. The record is from RNAcentral.